Molecule: ribosomal RNA, 253 nt
Filed under: uncultured Eubacteriales bacterium
Lineage: Bacteria; Bacillati; Bacillota; Clostridia; Eubacteriales
Description: uncultured Clostridiales bacterium partial 16S ribosomal RNA
Rfam family: Bacterial small subunit ribosomal RNA
Source: RNAcentral
UACGUAGGAGGCAAGCGUUAUCCGGAAUGACUGGGCGUAAAGGGAGCGUAGGUGGUUUGAUAAGUUGGUAGCGUAAUUCCGAGGCUCAACCUCGGCGCUACUACCAAAACUGUCGGACUUGAGUGCAGGAGGGGCAAAUGGAAUUCCUAGUGUAGCGGUGGAAUGCGUAGAUAUUAGGAGGAACACCAGUGGCGAAGGCGGCCGCCUGGCCUGUUGCUGACGCUGAGGCACGAAAGCGUGGGGAGCAAAUAGG